Megalobrama amblycephala (Wuchang bream) is the source of this 1134-nucleotide long non-coding RNA. RefSeq lists it as uncharacterized. The transcript has 4 exons. The record is from RefSeq and is a predicted model, not a curated record. Lineage: Eukaryota; Metazoa; Chordata; Actinopteri; Cypriniformes; Xenocyprididae.
UUUGCGGACUAGUUCCGACGCGACAUGCGUCAACUGCAUCACGCUGUCGUCCAUCUUUUUGGCGAACGCCUUGAAGGAGUCAAUGCGCUCCUCCACGUCCUGAAGGUCCUGGUGCUCGUUGGGAAUCUGGAAGUGUGGGCAAGCAACCCUGACUUGCUGCCGGACACGUAAUCUUACUGCUGACGAUGAAGCUGCUGGGAAUCGAGGCACUUCUGCUGUAGAUGGAGGUACUUGUGAUGGGAAUGGAGCUACUUCUGGUGGAGGUCCUUCUACCGUGGAUGAAGGUACUUCUGCUGUAGAUGGAGAUGGAGGUGGUGGUGCUGCUGGCACUAUGUGUGGAGACUGUCUGUCUGAUGUAUUUUUACAAGUUGUUAUAUGUUUAAUCAGAGCAUCCUUUCUGAUUAAUGUUGACUUGCAGUAGCAGCAGUGAAAAUGUGGCGUUUGUCUGCAGCCUAGACCACACUUGAUGAUGACAAAACCUAGGUAAAACAGAGAAGGGGAAAAAGCAUCAUAAAAGAAUAAAAUACAUUUUCUUCAGAUAAUAGUCUACAACUGUGAGGCUAGGGAAUAUUAAUCAUUUGUUGAGCAAUUUACAUAUUGUGACAAAGUUUGUGAAUCCAUUUUUUUCUCCACAUAUUUUAGACACUUCAAAAUGGCAUCUUCAUCUAUGCUUCAUUUUCUGAAAACAUCGAUUUGCGGCGAGAACGGUACUACCACUGACCCAACGUAAUGACGUAAUGAUCAACGCGGAAGAACAAAACCCAGGUUGAUGGGUCUUUUGAGGGAGAAAUGACCAGAAGGAUUGAAUUGUGUAAAGACAUUUAAAUUAAUUCACACGUACCUUCCCGUUGAACAGCAUUUCGAAGAUGAUUUGUAACAUGAUUUUGUGCCUGGUGUAAAUGUUUAUGCAGCAUCUUACAGUAGUCACAGUGGUACAUGUUGCAGCAGCUUGAGCAUUUCUCAAUGGAGAGAAGAGGAUCAUGUCCUCGCCUCAGUACUGUCUGAUGCAACUGUGCAGGUGUGGGCAAGCAACCCUGACUUGCUGCCGGACAUGUAAUCUUACUGCUGAUGAUGAAGCUGCUGUGGAUGGAGGUCCUUCAGCUGGAGUUGGAGGAGCUGCUGCUGUGGAUGGAG